RNAcentral lists this ribozyme (111 nucleotides) under Aedes aegypti (yellow fever mosquito). RNAcentral describes it as "drz-agam-1 ribozyme". It matches the Rfam family "drz-agam-1 ribozyme". Lineage: Eukaryota; Metazoa; Arthropoda; Insecta; Diptera; Culicidae. The record is from Rfam by way of RNAcentral.
UGUCCAGUAAUUCCUAUCCCUACCUCCCCGUGGUGCAGACUGGGAUCCGAAUAACUGUAGGGAAGAUCGGGAAACUCCGGUAGGACCUUGGUCGUAUGCUGACAGGAAAGG